CCGAGGCAUUCGACUUCCAGGCAUUACCAGGCAGGAUAUCCCAAAGUAUUCUGAGAUUUUGCUCCAUACAUAAGUCGCACCCAGCAUCUGGAGUUGGUCUGUCGUUGCACGGCAGGAUUCCUUAUAAGAUUUUUGUAAUGAACAGAUAAAUCCAAGGUGCAGUAACUGGUUCUUAAACUGGAAUUGUCUAUUGGAUGAGGUGGCCUGUGGAUGUUAGAAAAUUCUUACAGAAUCUAAAAAUUUAACUGCUCUGUAUCUACGAGCCUGUAAGUGGAUCUGUAUGAGUCUACUCGCUGUGUACAUACGUGCUACUCUCUGCCGAAGAGCAGAGGAAAGGAAAGGAAGUACCGAAAUAGACCAAAUAUUCUUCAUAAUUCCGAUCAAAAAACUGGUUGGCCGCCCGAAAUAUAUCGCAGCCCACAGGACGGAAGCUGCUACAGCCAAUAAAAACAGGAAAAGCUACACGCCCUUUUUUCCAAAGAUAUCCUCCAUUGAAUAUUGUUCCAAAGAACGUUAUUAGAACAUUGCCAAUAUUUUAAAGAAGUCACCAUUCAGAUGCUGUGAAAUAAGAAGAAAAGUAACGUCCCAUUUGGAGUCAUUAUAAUCAUUAUAACUUGUUGUAGAGACAGAGUAGCUGCUCCGCGUUAAUGAGAACAAGUGCUGCUUUAAUUGACGCUCAUAAAAAUGACGCCAACAAAAAGUCUAAUGCCUUGUGAAAAAGAAGUGUAAAUUUAGGAAUCUUUACAAGAUUUUAUCAUAUUUUUUGUGAGGAAUAUACCGUUUUUAACUAUAUGUAUUUGGACAAUAAUUAUUCUUGUUCGAGUGGAAAUAGUCAAAUCGUCGCUAUGGAUGAGAAUUAUUAUAAGAUGCUCUCUUACUAAUAACAAAAGAAAACUUUUCUAUAGUCUGGUGUCCUCACUAAUUGGGAUUAAUUCAAACAAUUAGCAGCAAUUGGUCUUUAACGAUAACUCCCUCGGUUCUGGCGUUCGCUUAAGCGCGUCUAACACAAUUUUAAUUCAUCGAAACGACCAA
Cephus cinctus (wheat stem sawfly) is the source of this 1032-nucleotide long non-coding RNA. RefSeq lists it as uncharacterized. The record is from RefSeq and is a predicted model, not a curated record. NCBI's taxonomy places the organism in Eukaryota, Metazoa, Arthropoda, Insecta, Hymenoptera, Cephidae. The transcript is spliced from 3 exons.